This 148-nucleotide unclassified non-coding RNA is filed under the name soil metagenome. RNAcentral's name for it is "partial internal transcribed spacer 1". The record is from RNAcentral.
CACGGAGAGGCCUCCAUCGGUCUUUCAACCUUGCCUAUCGUACCCUUUUUGUUGUUCCCUCGGCGGGGUAAAGCCCGCCGGCGGGAAGCUCGAAAAACCCUUUGCAAUCAGCAUCCAAAAACUCUGAUUACAAAACCUUAAAUCGUUA